This 468-nucleotide ribosomal RNA is filed under the name uncultured bacterium. RNAcentral's name for it is "partial 16S ribosomal RNA". It matches the Rfam family "Bacterial small subunit ribosomal RNA", at positions 28 to 507 of the family's 1533-position model. The record is from RNAcentral.
GACGAACGCUGGCGGCGUGCUUAACACAUGCAAGUCGAACGGAAAGGCCCUGCUUUUGUGGGGUGCUCGAGUGGCGAACGGGUGAGUAACACGUGAGUAACCUGCCCUUGACUUUGGGAUAACUUCAGGAAAAUGGGGCUAAUACCGGAUAGGAGCUCCUGCUGCAUGGUGGGGGUUGGAAAGUUUCGGCGGUUGGGGAUGGACUCGCGGCUUAUCAGCUUGUUGGUGGGGUAGUGGCUUACCAAGGCUUUGACGGGUAGCCGGCCUGAGAGGGUGACCGGCCACAUUGGGACUGAGAUACGGCCCAGACUCCUACGGGAGGCAGCAGUGGGGAAUAUUGCACAAUGGGCGGAAGCCUGAUGCAGCAACGCCGCGUGCGGGAUGACGGCCUUCGGGUUGUAAACCGCUUUCGCCUGUGACGAAGCGUGAGUGACGGUAAUGGGUAAAGAAGCACUGGCUAACUACGUG